This 497-nucleotide ribosomal RNA is filed under the name uncultured bacterium. RNAcentral describes it as "partial 16S ribosomal RNA". It matches the Rfam family "Bacterial small subunit ribosomal RNA", at positions 28 to 507 of the family's 1533-position model. The record is from RNAcentral.
GAUGAACGCUGGCGGCGUGCCUAAUACAUGCAAGUCGAGCGAACGGACGAGAAGCUUGCUUCUCUGAUGUUGGCGGCGGACGGGUGAGUAACACGUGGAUAACCUACCUAUAAGACUGGGAUAACUUCGGGAAACCGGAGCCAAUACCGGAUAAUAUUUUGAACCGCAUGGUUCAAAAGUGAAAGACGGUCUUGCUGUCACUUAUAGAUGGAUCCGCGCUGCAUUAGCUAGUUGGUAAGGUAACGGCUUACCAAGGCAACGAUGCAUAGCCGACCUGAGAGGGUGAUCGGCCACACUGGAACUGAGACACGGUCCAGACUCCUACGGGAGGCAGCAGUAGGGAAUCUUCCGCAAUGGGCGAAAGCCUGACGGAGCAACGCCGCGUGAGUGAUGAAGGUCUUCGGAUCGUAAAACUCUGUUAUUAGGGAAGAACAUAUGUGUAAGUAACUGUGCACAUCUUGACGGUACCUAAUCAGAAAGCCACGGCUAACUACGUG